Molecule: ribosomal RNA, 493 nt
Filed under: uncultured bacterium
Lineage: Bacteria
Description: bacterial SSU rRNA
Rfam family: Bacterial small subunit ribosomal RNA
Source: RNAcentral
GAUGAACGCUGGCGGCGUGCCUAAUACAUGCAAGUCGAACGCAUUGUGGUUGAAAUGAUAUGAAGAACUUGUUCAGAUUUGAUUUUCAACAUUGCAAUGAGUGGCGAACGGGUGAGUAACACGUGGGAAACCUACCUCUUAGCAGGGGAUAACAUUUGGAAACAAAUGCUAAUACCGUAUAAUAAUUAAAACCGCAUGGUUUUAGUUUAAAAGAUGGUCUUGCUAUCACUAAGAGAUGGUCCCGCGGUGUAUUAGUUAGUUGGUGAGGUAAUGGCUCACCAAGACAAUGAUACAUAGCCGAGUUGAGAGACUGACCGGCCACAAUGGGACUGAGACACGGCCCAUACUCCUACGGGAGGCAGCAGUAGGGAAUCUUCCACAAUGGACGAAAGUCUGAUGGAGCAACGCCGCGUGUGUGAUGAAGGGUUUCGGCUCGUAAACACUGUUGUAAGAGAAGAAUGACAUUGAGAGUAACUGUUCAAUGUGUGACGGU